RNAcentral lists this non-coding RNA (83 nucleotides) under Escherichia coli. Its description in RNAcentral is "traJ-II". It matches the Rfam family "traJ-II RNA". The record is from RNAcentral. Lineage: Bacteria; Pseudomonadati; Pseudomonadota; Gammaproteobacteria; Enterobacterales; Enterobacteriaceae.
CAUGUAAAGCAGGCCCACCGAAAACGGUGCUUCUGCUUUACCUUCCCUUAUUCGCCGUGGAGCGGCUCAAUGGGGCGGGGGAU